GAUGAACGCUGGCGGCGUGCCUAAUACAUGCGAGUCGAGCGAACAGAUAAGGAGCUUGCUCCUUUGACGUUAGCGGCGGACGGGUGAGUAACACGUGGGUAACCUACCUAUAAGACUGGGAUAACUUCGGGAAACCGGAGCUAAUACCGGAUAAUAUUUCGAACCGCAUGGUUCGAUAGUGAAAGAUGGUUUUGCUAUCACUUAUAGAUGGACCCGCGCCGUAUUAGCUAGUUGGUAAGGUAACGGCUUACCAAGGCGACGAUACGUAGCCGACCUGAGAGGGUGAUCGGCCACACUGGAACUGAGACACGGUCCAGACCCCUACGGGAGGCAGCAGUAGGGAAUCUUCCGCAAUGGGCGAAAGCCUGACGGAGCAACGCCGCGUGAGUGAUGAAGGUCUUCGGAUCGUAAAACUCUGUUAUUAGGGAAGAACAUACGUGUAAGUAACUGUGCACGUCUUGACGGUACCUAAUCAGAAAGCCACGGCUAACUACGUG
RNAcentral lists this ribosomal RNA (497 nucleotides) under uncultured bacterium. RNAcentral's name for it is "partial 16S ribosomal RNA". It matches the Rfam family "Bacterial small subunit ribosomal RNA", at positions 28 to 507 of the family's 1533-position model. The record is from RNAcentral.